RNAcentral lists this ribosomal RNA (117 nucleotides) under Nocardioides acrostichi. The record is from RNAcentral. Lineage: Bacteria; Bacillati; Actinomycetota; Actinomycetes; Propionibacteriales; Nocardioidaceae.
UACGGCGGCCAUAGCGACAGGGAAACACCCGGUCCCAUCCCGAACCCGGAAGUUAAGCCUGCCAGCGCCGAUGGUACUGCGACCGAGAGAUCGUGGGAGAGUAGGACGCCGCCGGAC